CUACGGGCUGCUCCAGUGGGGAAUAUUGCACAAUGGGGGAAACCCUGAUGCAGCGACGCCGCGUGAACGAUGAAGUAUUUCGGUAUGUAAAGUUCUAUCAGCAGGGAAGAUAAUGACGGUACCUGACUAAGAAGCACCGGCUAAAUACGUGCCAGCAGCCGCGGUAAUACGUAUGGUGCAAGCGUUAUCCGGAUUUACUGGGUGUAAAGGGUGCGUAGGUGGUAUGGCAAGUCAGAAGUGAAAGCACGGGGCUCAACCCCGUAACUGCUUUUGAAACUGUCAAACUAGAGUGCAGGAGAGGAAAGCGGAAUUCCUAGUGUAGCGGUGAAAUGCGUAGAUAUUAGGAGGAACACCAGUGGCGAAGGCGGCUUUCUGGACUGUAACUGACACUGAGGCACGAAAGCGUGGGGAGCAAACAGGAUUAGAUACCCUAGUAGUC
This 439-nucleotide ribosomal RNA is filed under the name uncultured bacterium. RNAcentral's name for it is "partial 16S ribosomal RNA". It matches the Rfam family "Bacterial small subunit ribosomal RNA", at positions 339 to 795 of the family's 1533-position model. The record is from RNAcentral.